RNAcentral lists this unclassified non-coding RNA (339 nucleotides) under soil metagenome. RNAcentral's name for it is "partial contains 5.8S ribosomal RNA, internal transcribed spacer 2, and large subunit ribosomal RNA". The stretch from base 1 to 120 matches the Rfam family "5.8S ribosomal RNA", at positions 35 to 154 of the family's 154-position model. The record is from RNAcentral.
GAUGAAGAACGCAGCGAAAUGCGAUACGUAGUGUGAAUUGCAGAAUUCAGUGAAUCAUCGAAUCUUUGAACGCACAUUGCACCUCUCGGUAUUCCGGGAGGUAUGCCUGUUCGAGCGUCAUUUGUACCCUCAAGCUCUGCUUGGUGUUGGGUGUUUGUUCCGCCUCUGUGUGUGAACUCGCCUCAAAACAAUUGGCAGCCGGCGUACUUGUUUCGGAGCGCAGCACAUUUUGCGAUCCAGAUCAACGUACAGCGGCAUCCAAGAAGCCUUAUUUAACGCUCUUGACCUCGGAUCAGGUAGGGAUACCCGCUGAACUUUAGCAUAUCAAUAAGCGGAGGA